UCCAGUAUAUAUCCAUUCCACAAUCUCAAACCCUAGUCCUCUCUUUCGACCGGAAACCUAAAAUCCUAGUCGCGUAUUCUCCGAUUUCCUCCCGGUCCCUGCAAUUGUUUCAUCGGAGACUCGAAAACUCGUUCUGGAUUUUAGAUAUUCUGGAUGGGAACAGAGCGGAAGAGGAAAGUAAGCUUGUUUGAUGUGGUGGAUGACAUGCCAGCGAAGAAAGUGAAUGUUGGAAGCUUAAACGGUAGCAUGACGCCUUCGAUUAAUAAGUGGAACGGGAAGCCUUACUCACAGAGAUUCUAUGAGAUAUUGGAGAAAAGGAAGACUCUUCCGGUUUGGCAUCAAAAGGAGGAGUUUUUACAGGCUUUAAAAUCUAAUCAAACCCUAAUUUUGGUUGGUGAAACCGGUAGUGGUAAAACCACUCAGAUUCCGCAGUUUGUUUUAGAUGCUGUUGAAGUUGAGACGGCUGAUAAGCGCCGGAAGUAUAUGAUUGGUUGCACUCAACCUCGGAGGGUGGCUGCAAUGUCCGUGUCUCGUCGAGUUGCUGAAGAGAUGGAUGUUGCAAUUGGGGAAGAAGUUGGAUAUAGCAUCCGUUUUGAAGACUGCAGUAGUGCUAGAACUGUUUUAAAAUACUUAACAGAUGGUAUGCUUUUAAGAGAAGCAAUGGCAGAUCCUCUAUUGGAACGCUACAAAGUAAUCAUUCUGGAUGAAGCCCAUGAAAGAACUUUGGCAACAGAUGUCCUGUUUGGGCUUCUUAAAGAGGUGUUGAAAAAUAGACCAGACCUAAAGCUUGUUGUUAUGAGUGCCACACUUGAGGCAGAGAAGUUUCAGGGUUACUUCUUUGGUGCGCCUCUCAUGAAAGUGCCUGGAAGGCUUCAUCCUGUGGAAAUUUUCUACACUCAGGAGCCUGAGAGAGAUUAUCUCGAGGCUGCCAUUCGGACUGUGGUGCAGAUACACACGUGUGAACCUCCUGGUGACAUACUUGUUUUCCUUACCGGAGAGGAGGAGAUUGAAGAUGCUUGUCGCAAAAUCAAUAAGGAGGUUAGUAAUUUGGGUGAUCAAGUGGGCCCGGUUAAAGCGGUGCCUCUUUAUUCUACACUUCCCCCAGCUAUGCAGCAAAAGAUAUUUGAAUCAGCCCCACCCCCGGUGGUGGAGGGUGGUCCUGCUGGCAGGAAGAUCGUUGUGUCAACCAACAUUGCAGAGACAUCUUUGACAAUUGAUGGCAUUGUUUAUGUCAUAGAUCCGGGAUUUGCUAAACAAAAAGUUUAUAACCCAAGGGUGCGUGUUGAAUCUUUGUUGGUGUCUCCUAUUUCGAAGGCCAGUGCCCACCAGAGAUCAGGACGUGCUGGAAGAACGCAGCCAGGGAAAUGCUUUAGACUUUACACAGAGAAAAGUUUCCAUAACGACCUUCAACCACAGACCUAUCCAGAAAUACUUCGGUCAAAUUUGGCCAAUACAGUUCUAACUUUGAAGAAGUUAGGUAUUGAUGACCUGGUUCAUUUUGAUUUUAUGGAUCCUCCUGCCCCAGAGACAUUGAUGAGAGCACUGGAGGUUUUGAAUUACUUGGGAGCAUUGGAUGAUGAGGGGAACUUGACUAGGUUGGGUGAGAUUAUGAGUGAAUUUCCUCUUGAUCCUCAGAUGGCAAAAAUGCUUGUUGUCAGCUCAGAAUUCAACUGCUCCAAUGAAAUCCUCUCAAUAUCUGCCAUGCUAUCAGUACCCAAUUGCUUUGUCCGGCCUAGGGAGGCUCAGAAAGCUGCAGAUGAAGCAAAGAAUCGGUUCGGUCACAUAGAUGGGGAUCAUUUGACGUUGCUGAAUGUGUAUCAUGCCUACAAGCAGAACACGGAAGACCCUCAAUGGUGCUACGAGAAUUUCAUCAAUCAGAGGGCUCUCAAAUCAGCUGACAAUGUGAGGCAACAGCUUUCUCGCAUAAUGGCCAGGUUCAACCUCAAGUUAUGCAGCACAGACUUCAACAGUCGCGACUUCUACAUAAACAUAAGAAAGGCUAUGUUAGCUGGAUAUUUCAUGCAGGUUGCUCACCUAGAGCGUACUGGGCACUAUCUGACUGUUAAAGACAAUCAAGUGGUUCACUUGCAUCCGUCAAAUUGUNCCUUCAAAUUGCCUGGAUCAUAAGCCAGAAUGGGUUAUCUAUAAUGAAUAUGUCUUGACAAGCAGGAAUUUCAUCCGUACUGUGACUGAUAUUCGUGGUGAAUGGUUGGUUGAUAUUGCACCACAUUACUAUGACCUUGCUAACUUUCCGCAAUGUGAGGCAAAACGAGUUCUUGAGCGGUUAUACAAGAAGCGAGAGCGAGAAAAAGAUGAAAGCAAGAGCAAAAGAUGAAUGCAUUCUUCAUAAUUUCAGUUCCCCUCAGCAUGCACGCUUCAGGGGAGUUCUGGGGUCAAAAUUAGUCAGAUAGGCUAAAGACUGAUGUACUAUCUACUAUGUACUGUAAUUGUUUGUACGGUUCUCGUCUGAACGAUUUAGUACCUGUUUCUUGUUGCUGGAGUAAUCUGUUUCUUGUUCCUUGCCUCCAAUGUCCUGAUAUAUCAGACCAAUUCUUUUAGCUC
Nicotiana tabacum (common tobacco) is the source of this 2562-nucleotide non-coding RNA. NCBI's taxonomy places the organism in Eukaryota, Viridiplantae, Streptophyta, Magnoliopsida, Solanales, Solanaceae. The record is from RefSeq and is a predicted model, not a curated record.